Long non-coding RNA from Brassica napus (rape), 962 nucleotides. RefSeq lists it as uncharacterized. NCBI's taxonomy places the organism in Eukaryota, Viridiplantae, Streptophyta, Magnoliopsida, Brassicales, Brassicaceae. The transcript has 2 exons. The record is from RefSeq and is a predicted model, not a curated record.
GAUCUGAAACCAGUGUCCGAAUCAUCCACGCCAGGCUACACGCUCAGGCCCUGACAUUGGCCGGUCUAGCUGGAGCAGCUGCAGUUGAGUACUAUGAUCACAAAACUGGAGCCACCGAUCGUUACCCCAAAUUUCUCAAGCCUGAUAACUUGAAUAAAGACUAAAAAAAUUCUUACCAUAGCUGAUGUUCCCUAGAACUAUUCUAGUCAUAUUAUAGCUACUGAAUUUUUUUUAAUGUUUCUUUAAUCCUUGUGUCCCGUACUGUGAAAUGAAUUAAUUCUGGGUUAUAUAAUCCAUACGCCGUGCAGAUUGUUUGCUAAUACGGGAUGCUUAUCUGUAAGAGAUACACAUUCAGAAAAAUAAUGCAUAUUUAUAUUCCUUCAUGAAACUGGUCCUUCUUCUAUCUCUAAUUCAAAUUAUUCAUUACCUCUGUGUAACUGGUUUGGCGUAUAUAAGUAAUACAUUUAAUUUAUACACGAACUCAAAUGUUAUUACUAUGUAAACACAAUUCAGAUUUUAUAUACUUUUGGUAAAGAAAGUUUGAUUGGUUAAUAGUUGAAGGCGAAGCUAGCAUAUGUAAACACAUUCCCCAACUAUGCAUGUAAGCUUUUUACCAACGAUCAACUAAGAAAUACUUAACUUGGGCUAGUCGUGUCCGGCCCAUGUCUAAAAAACCCAACAAUUUUGCCGUUUAAGGCUUGUGAAUGAGAGAUGUGUGAAAGUCCCACAUCGCUUACACUUAAAGGGAAGGUCUCGCUAAGCAGAGUAUAAGAAGAGAAGGGGAGCGAACAAGCAAACCACUUACCUGGACGGGGUCAACUCGUGAUCAAGAAGACGAGUGGCCUAGGCUAGUGACCUCCAUUGCACUGAGGAGGGGCGCUUAGCCUAAGGUCUCCCCUAGUGGGAGAGCCUGCGUCAUUAUUUGUGGCAGAGGGAGUCUGCGUUCGCGCGGCUCCUACCAU